AGAAUCAACGCUGGCGGCGUGCCUAACACAUGCAAGUCGAACGAGAAAGUGGAGCAAUCCAUGAGUAAAGUGGCGCACGGGUGAGUAACACGUGACUAACCUACCUUUUAGUGGGGGAUAACCUAGGGAAACCUGGGCUAAUACCGCAUAACACUUACGAGUCAAAGCAGCAAUGCGCUGAAAGAGGGGUCGCGGCCGAUUAGCUAGUUGGCGGGGUAAUGGCCCACCAAGGCAGUGAUCGGUA
This 244-nucleotide ribosomal RNA is filed under the name uncultured bacterium. Its description in RNAcentral is "partial small subunit ribosomal RNA". It matches the Rfam family "Bacterial small subunit ribosomal RNA", at positions 26 to 285 of the family's 1533-position model. The record is from RNAcentral.